CAAUUUUUAACAGAACUAAUGGACGCACAAUUAUGAUACUUACAUAUUUAGAACCCGCAAACGGUACAUAAUUUAUUAGUAAAGUUCAAACCAGUGAAUUAUUUUUGCCCGGCGCCAAAUUUAUACGACUUAUCUCUUUUGGAUAUCCCUUAUCUAUGAUCAUUACCAUAGAUCACUGCAUAUGACCCGUGGAAUGACCAGAAAGUGAGACUAUGGCCUGGAAAUAAUAAAAUAUCCAAAGGGACCUUAUUUAGUCUUAACUCCCGGUGGUGAAGAUACUUAUAAUGUAAAUUAGCGAAACAUUUGUCCGCAGUUUUUUAAAUAGUGGGGUUAAGUUCUUUUGAUUAUCUUAUUUGUUAAUAAAAAUUAAAUUGUUUAACUAUUUAUACUAAAAUUUGCAACAACUUACAUAAGUGAUAUGCAUCUGACGCAAAAAUAUUCUUGCAAAUUCCUCCGCAUAACACAGACAGAGAUUGUUAAAAGUUUAAUUUUGAUCGUAGUCUCUCACUUCUUUUUAAGUAUCUAUCCAUCUAAUAAAAUUAUUCAAAUUUUACAAUCUUAAGGUAGUAAAAUAGUAAAAUCAAAAUUAUAUACAUUUCCCUCGAGUUCAGUAAAGAAUCUAUUUAUUUUUCAUUUGUGUUCAUUAGUUUCUUUCACAUAUGACGUUAACAACGUCAUAAACACUCGAAUUAUAAAAUGAAACUAUGCCAAAAUUGUGAUGAAGGCUCCACGUCCUUAAUAUUUUUAAUGGCUCACAGGCCUAGCCAAUUAUGAUAAAACGUCAAUGAUAUAACCGAUAUCUGUAGUUAUGGUAGGGAACCAGUGUGGAACAUUUUUCGUGAAAAAGGUGUUUAUAGUAUAUCAGGCAAUUAUUGCUGUUUUGGGGCUUCUUCCUAUCCAUGCCUAUAGUGGUCAUAGUAUCCAGACUCAACUUUGGUGAUACGAACGAUUAUAUGGUGCAAAAUAGGACUUUGACCAGUAUGGAUACAAACAAAUGGAAUCAUUAGGAAAAUUGCACAAUCUUUGGACAUCAUGUGUAGUUGGUCUGUGAUAGUAGCAGUCUGUAUUUCCUUCCAGUAUGGAGUAUUAUCCUUUUAUUCAAUGAAAUCAAAAACAACAAGGAUUGGCUAAUAAAUUGGGAUGUUAAUUUUAACCCUAACGAUGACGAUAUGGAUUGUCUGCAUUGGUAUCCUCUCUGAAUUUGGUUUACAUUCCACACAUGUAAACGUUGGAACGUUACUUUCUACAGUUAAUUCAGUUUUUAAUGCAGCAAAUUAUACUACAGGACUUUAUACAAACUCUGGAUACCAUUUAUUGUGGAGCAUUGAUUGUAGAAGUUCACCUUUUCUCCAGAAAGCAGCAAUACAUCAAACAACUGUAAAAGUGUCUUUUUACCAUCACACUUGUUCAUUUGUGACAAUGAAUUGUCAAUUAUUAUGAGCGCACACACAAUCAAGAGGUCAAAAUAUGAUUCUUUACAUAAUGCCUCUUGAUGAUGUUAGAUAGUUAAAUGGUCCAUACACGUCAUUAACGAGGGUUGAAGUUUAUCGUAGGAACAUAAAUACUCCAUAUUUAAUGUGUUAUGAAACAUUGGUUGUAUCAGUACUCUUUUACUCUGGAAUGUAUACCUGAAGUAUUGAGAAAGGCGUGAAGGUGCGUUUUUUCCGUUGGGAACGAAGACAGUGUGCGGUAGCAGAAGGAAGGAUUUAUGACAUUGAACUGGAAUUCUGAUAGAGAAAGACGAUGAUACUUAAAUAUGCAUACAAAAACCUGUUAUUUUUAUUUAGAAAAUUGUGAUGAGAGUAUGAAAAUGUAAUGAAGCAGUGAUAGUCAAGGAGAUAGAUGCUUCUUAAACAAAGAAACAAUUGAUUAAGAAUAAAAGCAUCUCAAGUUUCAAGUUUGCCAAUGUAAAUCUGAACUACAAAAAGGAGUAUAAAGACCAGGAUAAAAGAAUACAAAAGCCUAUGUUGCCUAGGACACAGAAAAAUUAUCAGUAACAAAAGAGGAAAAAAAAGUAACAGAAGAUCAACACUUAAUACGUUCAUGUUUUGGCAAAGAACAACCAUUACCAUUCCCGCUUGUACAGAGAAGCCAUUGAAAUAUAUAAACACAAGAAUAAUUUCAAUAAAAAAGGAAGAGGGCACCUUUCAGAACGAUAUAAAUACGAGCACGCUUGUCACCGUUUCGCAUCAGAGAAGACUUCGACAUCGCCCUUGAAAAUGUCCACCACAGUUGUGAAUGAAACGUCGAGAAAACAACCCAACAGACCACGGCCCAUCAGCCGGGACAACAACUCACCUAUAUUCGACACCGGUCGUGAAAACGUACAAUCAACAAUACCUUCAAUUUGUUAGGCAUUUGUAACUUGCUUCAAUAGACAACUUUUAAGAAACGUUUUAGAAAUGGCAAAAGCAAAUUUAAUGUGGAACGGAUCUUUCCAUGAGUAUUGUCUCACAAAUGAGAAGGAAUUGCAGUCAAUUUUGAUGCUACUGAAACAAGCGAUGCUUUUGACGUGUUAACAUUAUGCCGUUAAUUUUUCCUGUAACUAUGGGAGGCAAUCGGGAGUUAAUUUGGAAGCAACUGAAACAAUCAACUGUCUAUAGUUGUUUCCCUCCUAGAUUUGGUUUGCUCAUCACACUGGUAGAGUUUAGAACGUUACCUACUACAAUUAAUUAAGAUUUUCCAGCAAAUGAGGGUGAUAUAACUUCAGUAUGGUCGUAUUGAAACAGUUGAUGUCUACAUGGGUGUUGUUUUUCGUGGACUGUACUCUUGAUUUCCUGUUUUCGUUUUCGCCUUCCAACAUCAUACAGUGAAUUUUUAACCCACGAGUGAGAGCAACUGGAUAUUUGAAUUCCAAUGAAACAACAAAUUGUCUGCAGGGAUAUCCCUUCCAGAUUUGGUUUGCUCAGCACACUGGUAGACUUUAGAACGCUACCUUCUACAAUUAAUUAAGGUUAUACAACAAAUGAGAGAGAAUUAAUGUUCAGUUUGGUCAUACUAAAUCAGCCAAUGUCUACAUAGGUGUGGUCUUUCGUGGAUUAUAUUCCUGAUUAGCUGUUUCGUCUUCACCUUCUAUCAUCAUGCAGUUAAUUUUCAACCCAUGGGUGAAAGCAACUGGAUAUUUAUUUGAAUUCCACUAAAAUAACAACUUAUCUGCUAUGGUGUUCCUCCUGGAGUUAGUUUGCUUUUCACACCUGUAAGCUUUAGAACGUUACGUUCUACAAUUAAUUAAGGUGAGAAUACUUCAUAUAAUAAUUUUAAUUGCUCUUUAUUAAUCUGUUUGCCAACGUAUCUUUUUCAGAUCGAUGUUGGAGAAGACAAAGAUGACCCCGUAGUUGAAAUAGUUCUUUAUCUUGCAUGCUCUAUCUAGUAGAAU
Agrilus planipennis (emerald ash borer) is the source of this 3376-nucleotide long non-coding RNA. RefSeq lists it as uncharacterized. Lineage: Eukaryota; Metazoa; Arthropoda; Insecta; Coleoptera; Buprestidae. The transcript is spliced from 11 exons. The record is from RefSeq and is a predicted model, not a curated record.